GUCUACGGUGAUACCACCCUGAACGCAACUGAUCUUGUUUGAUCUCAGAAGCUAAGCAGGGUUGGACCUGAUUAGUAUUUGGAUGAGAGUUACCAGCUGGUAAAAUAUUGGAAUAAUUCAAACU
This 124-nucleotide ribosomal RNA is filed under the name Carlito syrichta (Philippine tarsier). Lineage: Eukaryota; Metazoa; Chordata; Mammalia; Primates; Tarsiidae. The record is from RNAcentral.